UUUUUUAAACAUAAGAACAGUUCAAUGCCGUAAAAAUUGACUGCUGGCUUAUAAAUAGGUACAAUUACUUUCUCCACCCACUUCUUAACACACACGUGCUACCUAGGAGAUUUAUUAAUAGCUGGAUAAGCAAGCUAUAAGGGGAGAACGGAAGCAACCACCUGCGGCACUGCCACACGCUCAGGGUAAGGCCACAGGGAAACAAGGCCUGUGCUGCUCACCUCUGUAGGGCCCUCCUUUCCCUUCCCUUUUUGCAGGGCAGGAACAGGAAGAGAGAGAGGCUGAGAGGAGCCCUGUUUCCACACAGUACCCAGGAACGAUUUCAAUACAAACCCGCUUUUUUCUUAACUCGUUUCCAUUUGCACAUCCAACUAAAAGCAAACUUGCAGGGAACCGUAGCUAGUCCCCCUCACACGCACAAAAGAACUGAUUUUGAAGUUAUAUUUAUUAACUGGAACAAGAGUGCAAACAGAGGAAUUUUGAAGCCUACUUCCUUUCCCCUCCCCCAGCAGUCCUGUUUGUUUCCUGGGGUUAAUAAAGCUGAGAGGGAGACAGAGCAGGGCCGUUCCUAAUGCAGGCACCCAGAAUGCCCUUUAAAGGGCAGGAGGGGAACAACCACCAAGGUUAAAGUAUGCAAGGACCAGGAUCCAAAGAAAACAUUUUUGCGAGGGCCGAGGCAUGCCGAGGUGCCAGCUGCAGACAGCAAGGGGCAGCCCUCAGCUCGGGCAGCUGGUCACACAGCUUUGGGAAAUCACCUUUCCUACAGUUUUCCCCAUUUGUUCAGACAUUUGCCUGGCUCAGCAAAAUCAGCAGGCAGCGAUUCGGUUUUGAAACAUCGGUCACCCGCGCAACAAAAGUAUCCGCUGUGACAGAUCAGGACCUCUCCGCACAAAGCAAAAGAAACAACAUAAGGAAGCUCACGAGCCCCACAUGGAGCAGCUGGGAGAGCAUUUGAGGAGCUAUCGACACAAAUGUACCUUCUUAGCCUUCACUACUGCACCUCUGCUUAUGUUUUCACUGUCAGCCACUAAAUGAACUGGAUACUAAAUGGAUCUUUGAUCAUUCAGAGCCAGUGUUGUAUUUUCCAGCUGAUGAUUAAAGGCUGAUGCACAUAUUCCAAA
This is a long non-coding RNA of Gallus gallus (chicken), 1121 nucleotides long. RefSeq lists it as uncharacterized. The record is from RefSeq and is a predicted model, not a curated record. Lineage: Eukaryota; Metazoa; Chordata; Aves; Galliformes; Phasianidae. The transcript has 2 exons.